Molecule: ribosomal RNA, 501 nt
Filed under: uncultured bacterium
Lineage: Bacteria
Description: bacterial SSU rRNA
Rfam family: Bacterial small subunit ribosomal RNA
Source: RNAcentral
GACGAACGCUGGCGGCGUGCCUAAUACAUGCAAGUCGAGCGGGGAUUAUGCUUGAUCGCUUCGGUGAGACGGCAUAUAUCCUAGCGGCGGACGGGUGAGUAACGCGUGGGUAAUCUACCUCGUAGUUCGGGAUAACAGGCCGAAAGGCUUGCUAAUACCGGAUGAGUUCAUGCUUAUGCAUAUAGGCAUGAAGAAAGGGCUAGCCCGCUAUGAGAUGAGCCCGCGUCCCAUUAGCUAGUUGGUGGGGUAAAGGCCUACCAAGGCGACGAUGGGUAGCCGGCCUGAGAGGGUGGACGGCCACACUGGGACUGAGACACGGCCCAGACUCCUACGGGGGGCAGCAGUAGGGAAUCUUCGGCAAUGGGCGGAAGCCUGACCGAGCGACGCCGCGUGAGGGACGAAGGCCUUCGGGUUGUAAACCUCUGUCAGAGGGGACGAUAAUGACGGUACCUCAGAGGAAGCCCGGCUAACUACGUGCCAGCAGCCGCGGUAAUGCUACGU